UCUUGUAUUAUAAAUUUCUCAUAGGCUUUGCCUUUGAGAAAUUGCAAAUACAAAAAAUUGCAACCUUCCAUUCUUCUUUUUGUUGCAUUCCUUGUUUCAAGUUUGAAUAUGUCUGAUGAAUUAGAUCAAGUUUUAGUCCCAUGUUUGGAACGUGAGUUUAGAGGAACAUGAGGCUUUUCUAUGCAUACUAUUAUCCAACAUGUUUCCUAAUAAUGAAAGGGAUGAUGAUGAUCAAUUCUUUGAUGAUGCUUACAUGGAAGAUGUGGUCAUAUUCGAUACUGAUGAUGAUAUUAUGGAGUUUCUUGAGGAUGCUCUUAUUGAUGACGAUCCACCAAAGAUGAUCAGGCCUGCCAGUAAAUCAGCCAUUGAAGGGUUGGAGAAGGUAAAGAUCGAUGAAAGAUCAUUAGUGUCGUGUUUGGUGUGCUUUGAAGAUGUUUCAAUCGGGACUGAAGCCAAACGCCUGCCCUGCUCCAAUGUUUAUCGUACAGGUUGCGUUGUUAAAUGGUUUAAAGAGAGAAUACAUGUCCAUUGUGCCGCUAUAAAAUGCCUGUUGUGGAUUUUGAUCUAAUUGUCCCAUUGCCUGCCAUUGAUUCUGAUGUGGACUCUGAGAACAUGACUGCUACUAAUUGAUUUCAAGUGUCAUUUAUAGUAUGUAUUUAUUAGGGUUAUGUUCUAUUUUCUUUUUGUUUCUUUUGAACAAUUUGUUUGUAAACUUAAGGGUACCCAAAUCAUAAUGAAAUUGUCAUUUGGAACCCAAACCCUAAACCCUAAUCACCCAAGUCCUUAUCUUACAUGAUUAUUAAAAAAUUUACUGCACUUUUCCUUCUAAUUCUGAUGUUUUUGUAUUUCUUAUAAUAUGUUAUUUCUAUACAUGACCAUGCUCUCUACAACUAUUGAUAUAAAUUCUUGUUGAUUAGUUUGUUUUGUUUUGCAGGGUUUUUCUAUUUCUUAUCAAUAUCUUUGAGACCAAGAUUGGUCCUAAAGAACACUGUUCAGUCAAUCAAUGUUUUGAUCAAAUCAAGUGGAUACUUUACAGAAACCAGGACGUUGAGUUAGUAUUCACGAGAGCAAACAAGAGAAGCUAGUGUUUCCAACAAAAUGAAUUGAUACACUGACUCAAACGAAACUAAAUCCAACUUUUAAUCGAAGGCAGUAAAACUUUUAAUCAUCUAAGACUGCAAUACUAAUAUGUCUAUUACACUUUUUGCAGAAUCAAAAUUUGUGUCCAUAUUGGAUGUUUUCUCUUUCAGUUCUAUGUACUGUUGUAACAGAGCUCCGAAUUUUUUGUAGCAUGACUCCUGAUAUAAAUACAGAAAACAUCUGAUCUUACUUACAUUUAACAAAAAACUUCUUGUUCAACAAAGAAAAACCAGAAUCUAUUUCAACUAGAAUUGGUGGGGUGCGCCUGACCCAUGCAGCAGUGCAACGCAUGGGCGACACUUGAAGACCCCAGUAGCAAGCUACCGUGAUGGACCUUCUCCCUCAAAAAACUAAUUUAAUAUCAUGUGGAUCAAUGACCCACGUAUCAGAUAUUAAACUGAUAAGAACAGAUACUACACUUGAUCUUAGCCAAAAGGCCGAGAAAGGUAUGCUUUGCAAUCGCUCUCAACUUCUCUUUCAUAACUUGUCUCGCCCAAACCCUAUUCAACUGUUCAUGAUGUGGGAUAGGGAACUCAGCCAAGUGCAGUAACAUGUAUCUUUCGAUGACCAGUGAAAGCUGAUUGCUAGUUACCUGAAUAUCAGAGCAAAAUCUGGCAACAAAAACACUCUAACAAUUACCAUUUCCUUGGAAGAUUAUUUAUUAAUAAUUUGCGUAUUUGAAAUGGUAUUUGACAUCUGCUUUGAGAAGGCACGGUUCAUAUAAUCUAUAGGUAUAACUUCAAUGUCUUGUUUUAUGCUGCGUUUAGCUGCAAAAUCAGUCAUCUAUUGAGUCUCCUUCAUCCUUUCAAUCAUGCUUAUCUUCGUUCCUGCCGUAAAGGGUAUAACUUGUUAAUUUCUCAGUCUUAAUACCAAAUUAUGUCCAAUACUGAAAAUAUACAGUCAACUUAACGCAUCUCUGCUUCGCAGAUGAUUUACUAAUAUUUGCAAAGGGUAAGUUGGAUUCUGUUAUUGGUGUGAAGGAGGUGCUGAAGGUGUUUUAACACCUUUUCUGGCCUGCAACUUAACUGUGAGAAAAGUGAGUUAUAUUCAACAGGAAUUAAUAGAUGGGAGCUCAGUCCAAUAUAGCAGGUUUCUGGUUUUAAAAUUGGAUUGCUUUCUGUUAGAUACUUGGGGGUACCUUUGGUUACCAGGAGGCUCACCGGAAAAGAUUGUGCGCCACUAAUGGACAAGAUCACAACCAGGAUUAAAAGUUGGGCAGCUAGGCAUUUGUCUUAUGGUGGAAGGUUGCAGCUAAUGCAGUCCGUGCUGUUUGGUAUGCAAAACUAUUGGUCUAGGCGAUUCAUUAUGCCAAAGCAUGUGCUUAAGAAGAGAAAUCAACUAUGCUCCAGUUUCUUCUGGAAAAGGAGAGAAGGGUCCGCAAGGGGAGCUAGAGUGAGCCGUUGUGCAAUUUGUUUCUCUAAAUCUGAGGGAGGACUUGGUCUCAAAGAUAUAGUAUCUUGGAACCAGGCUUGUCUCAUGAAGAAUAUGCAGGACAUUUUUAUUAAAGCUGGUCCAAUAUGGAUAGCAUGGCUAGAAGCUUACGUUUUGAAGGAGAGGAGCAUCUUGCAGGUUCCAGAACAACAAAACAGUAGCUGGAACUGGAGGAAGCUACUUCAGCUUAGAUAGAUUGCACGGCAUUUUAUAAACAUAGAGAAUGGAGUUGAGAUCUAGCUUUUUCUAAGCAACACCUACUCAGCUGCUAUAGUAUGAAAUACGAUUAGGCCGAAACAAGAGAAGGUUGAAUGGCAUAAACUCAUAUGGUUUCAAUACCAUAUUCCAAAGCACUCUAUAAUAUCUUGGAUGGCUAUAUUAUAUAGACUUUCAACGAAGGACAGGUUGAAAACGUGGGGAAUUGAGGUGUAUGACAAAUGUUGCCUGUGCCAGAGAGAGGACGAAACCAGGGAACAUUUGUUCUUUGGAUGUGAUUAUUCAAAAUAGAUUUGGCAAAAGAUAUUACGGAAGUGCAGGAUCUUUCGGGGGUGGAGAACUGGUCCGAAGAGUUGAGAUGGGCAGUGAGCAAAUUGAGGGGAAAGCCUCCAUCAUAUUGCGAUUAGCCUGGAAUUCCAGACAUCAGAUAUGGAAAGAGAGCAACAGCAGGAUGUUACAGGUCCUUGAACACAUAAAAGAUGCUGUGAGGCUUCGAUUACAGGGACUAAGUGAGAUACACAUAAAAGAUGUUGUGAGACUUCGAUUAUAGGGACCAAGUCAGAUUGCUGCGAAUACAGUAAAUAAGAUGAUGUGUGAUACGUGGAAUCUUAAUGUUGCUAUGAUAGAAUAGGUUGCAAUUAGAGAUGCGUAUAUCGAUGGUUUGUAAAAGACAGUUGGAUUGUUGUAUUGUAGUAGAAUUCUGCUAGCUUGAUAAAUAAAAUACAAAUUAUCCAAAAAAAUUCUAAAAAUAUACAAUAAUAAAAUGCAUUACGAACUUAAAAUAUCUAUGCAGACCUCACAUCACUCUUAAAUAACAUAUUAACAAUAGAUUUUUUAUUAUAUAUUUAUUGUAUUAUGUAUAAAUACAUAAAAUAAAAAACAUAAAAAUAAAUUUGUUUUUUUUUUCACAUGCAACUACAAAAAGAAAAUCAAUUUAUUUUAUUGCAUAACCCUUUUCUUUGACAUUUUUUUCUCAUUUUUUCACUUUUUUUUUUGUUCCAACCACAUAAGAGUGUCCAAAAUCUUGUAAUAUGGAAAUCCAUUCUUAGCUAGGAUGAAUAAUCCUUCAAAAUUAAGGAAACUUACAGCCGCCUCUUCUCUUAUAUUAUAAAUUGCUUGUAGGCUUUGCCUUUGAGAAAUUGCAAUUAUAAAGAAUUGCAACCUUCCAUUCUUCUUUUUAUUGCAUUCUUUGUUUUAAGUUUGAUUAUGUCUAAUGAAUUAGAUCAAGUUUUAGUCCCUUGUCGGAAUUUGAGUUUGAGGGAUAGGAAGCUUUUCUAUGCAUACCAUUAUCUAGCAUGUUUCCUAAUAAUGAAAGGGAUUAUGAUGAUCAGUUCUCUGAUGAUGAUUAUAUGAAAGAUGUGGUCAUAUUCGAUACUGAUAAUGAUAUUAUGGAGAUUCUUGAGGAUGCUCUUGUUGAUGAAGAUCCUCCAAAGAUGAUCAGGCCUGAUAGUAAAUCAGCCAUUGAAGGGUUGGAGAAGGUAAAGAUUAAUCAAAGAUCAUUAGUGUUAUAUUCGGUUUAGUUUGAAGAUGUUUCAAUUGGGAUUGAAGCCAAACGCCUGCCCUGCGCCCAUGUUUAUCAUACAGGUUGCAUUGUUAAAUGUCUUAAAGAGACGAAUACAUAUCCAUUGUGCCGCUAUGAAAUGCCUGUUGUCGGUUUUGAUCUAAAUAUCCCAUUGCCUGCUAUUGAUUCUGAUGUGGAUUAUAAAAACAUGACGACUACUAAUUGAUUUCAAUGUCGUUUGUAUUAUGUAUUUGUUAGGGUUAUGUUCUAUUUCUUUUUGUUUCUUUUGAACAAUUUGUUUGUAAUCUUAUGGGUACAUACAGAACAUAAAUGCAUUGAUACACUG
This 4634-nucleotide long non-coding RNA is filed under the name Durio zibethinus. RNAcentral's name for it is "long non-coding RNA (DZIB_LNC000609)". The record is from RNAcentral. Lineage: Eukaryota; Viridiplantae; Streptophyta; Magnoliopsida; Malvales; Malvaceae.